GUCGCGAAGGCUCUGGUUCAACGGGGCGAUUCUUUGAUUAAGCCGCGCCAAUCACAAAACAUAAUUAGUGGUUUUAGUACAGAUUCUGUACAAUUUAUUAUUUACUGUCGAAGGCUCUGGAAUCCAGGGUAAGGCUACAGUAUAAAACAGACUAAGCGCAUAGGCGACAUAUAGUAAAUUACAGACUAUUUUGCCUAACCGUAUUUGCUACCUCACAGCUCACACGAAAUCGUUCAUAUAAAAACAUCAUCAGUGAUCACAGGCAAUGUCUCAUUACCGGAAUAUUGGUCAGGUUUCGAUCGAAGCGAUCACGGGAAUUAUGCCCUUUUUUGCUGGUAUUAUGCCCUUAUAAUAUGCCCUUCAUUAUGCUUCACGAAUCACGAGGGCGGCGCAAAUUAGAUAGUUGAAGUUAUGAUAACUGAUGUAAAGUUGUGUACGCAAUUUAGUUGUUUGCGCAAGAAGCAUGAGUAAUGUAAGUAAUGAAAUAAUGCUGAAACAUGCCCUUUGGGCAGCCAGGCAAAGAAACCUUAAAAUGCAUAUGCGUGUGUUAUUGUAUAAAAGAGCUUUAAGUUGUAAUUGUCCUCAGAACAGUAGAUCAGUAUAUAGAGAACAGAAUUGGGAUUAAAUUAAUCGCUGGAAGUAGUUAGCAUUGCAUAAUUUAAGUACUACAACUAAAUUCUAACUGGCAAAUUUCGACACGUUAUAAUGCCGUCCCCCGACCAUCAGAUUUCUGUCAAAUCUUCCCCCAAAGUCCAGGAAAUGGCAUUUCAAAGACUCUAAAUUAAAAAAUUUUCCUGGGGCCAUGCCCCCGGACCCCCCUAGACAAACCUCGCACCUCCGGCACUCGGCUCGUGCCUUCGGCCCUCGUUUAUCAAGUGUAACAUUAUAGGGGCGCAUAUUGGUUGACAGCCCACUGGCCCCUCCAGAAAAAUAGUACCCAGCACGCCACUGCCCGCCUGCCACACCCAAAACCCAAUGGUAAAAACAGUUCUUGUCUCGGAAUGGACUACUCCCCCCCUCACCAAACAAAUGAUCCUGGUUAAUUGCCACUGUACGAUAGAUAAUAAUAUCAGACCAUGCAAAGUUAAUUAAUAUCUCUUUCAUUGUUAUAUAAAAUUAAUGUAUAAUAUUAAUUGGGCAUAAAUAUUUGUGAUUUAAUCAAGAAUUUUAAAUUUCCAUAGAAUGUCAUUUAUGGACAAAAGAUUGACACAAUUCCAAAGUUUAAUUGAUGAGUGUGCACCUGUUUCAAAGCCAGUCAUUUUCUUGAUGGACAACAUAAAUAUGUAUCAUGGGAACAGUCCGAACAGGACUCAUCACCGACUGUUUAAAGUACUUGGUCAAAAAAUGAGGAACUUUACAGUUCGCGGCUUAGCUAUUCCAGAUUUAACAACAAUAGAAUAUUUGUUUCAUGACAAGGAAACAGCAGAAGAACAACAAAAGGAUAAAGUUACUGCAUGGGAUACUUUCAUAGGUAAGAGCUGCAUGCAAAUUACACUAAAAAUUGUGUUUGUAACUAUAAUAUACUGUACAAUAUAACAAUAUUACAGUACAGUAAAAAUGUUAUUAGAUUACAGGUUCUGUCCACAUGUAUCUGAUGUUGUCAUCUACUGAAAACCCAAUAAUCUGGAAGCAGUCUUCUGAGGGUAGAUACUUUCAACCUCGUACCCAGUGCUAGCCGCGAAUUGAAGGCGACGGCAUAGCCCUGGUAAACGCUGGUCACGUGACUACAACAUUACGUAAUUGUUACUUUUCUCAACCGGGGGGUGAAUGCUAGAGGUGAAACUCGAAGACAAACAGUUUUUAUCUCAGAAAUUCUUCAAUCUUCCCUGUGAAUUUUGCAUUUCAAGCUUUUCUCAAAGUACGGCGAUCGAUCAAAUGGAUCAAUACUUUCUGUAGAAAAAACUCAGUGAGAUUUGUUCGAAUGAGACGUUUAAAAGACUUGGAUAUGUCGCUCAACACGCUCGAUCAUUUGCACAGGUUUAUGGUUUAGUACUUUGUUCAGUUUGUUGCGACUUGCGAAGCAAAUGAAUGCAAAUUCAACUCUUGUAUAAUGACUAAAAGUUGGUUUGUAGAGGGACAACUUAUGCAAAAGAUAUGAAUACUUGAGCUUCAAACUAGGAACAAGUUCAAUCAUGGACAUCCUUAUUAAA
This is a non-coding RNA of Paramuricea clavata, 2150 nucleotides long. Lineage: Eukaryota; Metazoa; Cnidaria; Anthozoa; Malacalcyonacea; Plexauridae. The record is from the annotation of a GenBank genome assembly.